GGGCCCGCACAAGCGGUGGAGCAUGUGGUUUAAUUCGAUGCAACGCGAAGAACCUUACCAGGGCUUGACAUACUACAGAUUCUUUAGAGAUAGAGAAGUGCCUUCGGGAAUGUAGAUACAGGUGGUGCAUGGCUGUCGUCAGCUCGUGUCGUGAGAUGUUGGGUUAAGUCCCGCAACGAGCGCAACCCUUAUUUUUAGUUACCAAUUCGUUGGGUUCUCUAGAAAGACUGCCGGUGACAAACCGGAGGAAGGUGAGGAUGACGUCAAGUCAGCAUGCCCCUUAUGUCCUGGGCUACACACGUGCUACAAUGGUUAAGACAAAGAGUUGCGAGCUCGCGAGAGUAAGCUAAUCUCAUAAACUUAGCCUAAGUUCAGAUUGUAGGCUGCAACUCGCCUACAUGAAGUUGGAAUCGCUAGUAAUCGC
This 424-nucleotide ribosomal RNA is filed under the name uncultured bacterium. RNAcentral's name for it is "bacterial SSU rRNA". It matches the Rfam family "Bacterial small subunit ribosomal RNA", at positions 917 to 1345 of the family's 1533-position model. The record is from RNAcentral.